CUUAAAUAGAAAGUCUGUUCGACUUUUAAACAAUUACAUGAUUUGAGUUCAAACCGGUGUAAGCCAGGUUGGUUUCUAUCUUCUUUAACUUUUUCUUAGUACGAAAGGACCAGAAAAUAUUUUAAAUCUUUUUGGCAGACAAUUGCAUUAGAUUUAGAUUCUAAUUAUCCUAAAUUUAUUUCUACAAUUAAUUCUUUA
This 198-nucleotide unclassified non-coding RNA is filed under the name Stegodyphus dumicola. RNAcentral's name for it is "partial contains 16S ribosomal RNA and tRNA-Leu". The record is from RNAcentral. Lineage: Eukaryota; Metazoa; Arthropoda; Arachnida; Araneae; Eresidae.